CUGCUUUAUUGCUCUCUUUACUCGUUUUGUUGCCUCUUUUUUCGGUGCAGCCGACUGACUUGGAUGAUGAUUACCAUGGCAACAGGAGGAAGCUCAGAAGAUUCAAAGCGGCGGUUUCAGAACGAGCCGCUGUCGCCAUGUUGAUGAGGUCUCCGCGUAUUUCACUCCACGACUCCGAAAAUAGACACUUUCCGCCACAGACACAGAGAGAGCUCGACGAGUCGGCCGCGGCCAUCAUGCCUUCCCUCCAGAAACACCAGCAGCAGCAGCAGCAGCAGCAGGAGUAGCAGCGACACGACGAGAUGUGGAGGCAGACGAAGGCACGUACACACCGGGGACUGUCGCUCGCUCCGGCAGCCACCCGUCAGCAUCCCCUGGACACCACCGGUGCCCAAGCUGGGGUCCGGGGGCCACCUGGGGGUCCAUGAAAACUGCGAAACCAAGCGGAACCAAGGCGCGCUUUCAUCCACCUAACACCAACCCCUCAUGUCCGCUCUCACCACAUUAUGAUUAUUAUUAGUAGUAGUAGUAUUAACAACUUUAAAAGGCUCGGAGCAGAUUCGCCAUUCAACUCAUGCAAAACCAACAGGUUCCGAGCAUGAAUGAAGUCUGGGCGUGUCCUCUCCAGAUGCGCCUAUAUUGUCAGUCUCCUUUCUUUCAUGCCAAAAAUAGACCCAGACCUUUCCAGUGUAGUUCUUUUUUUCCCUCUUCUCCCGAAACGUCUUCACCUGACCCUCUUCUCCUCGCAUCACAUGCUAUAAACAGAAAGCCAUUUUCCUUCUCCACACCA
This is a long non-coding RNA of Acanthopagrus latus (yellowfin seabream), 790 nucleotides long. RefSeq lists it as uncharacterized. The transcript has 2 exons. NCBI's taxonomy places the organism in Eukaryota, Metazoa, Chordata, Actinopteri, Spariformes, Sparidae. The record is from RefSeq and is a predicted model, not a curated record.